GGAUCAUUACUGAAUUGUCAAACGGGUUGUUGCUGGCCCUCAUAGGGGGCAUGUGCACACUCUGUUUACACAUCCACUCACACCUGUGCACCCUCUGUAGUUCUAUGGUCUGGGGGACCCUGUCUUCCUUCUGUGGUUCUACGUCUCUACACACACACUGUAAUAAAGUUUUAUGGAAUGUACAUCGCGUCUAACGCAAUACAAUACAACUUUCAGCAACGGAUCUCUUGGCUCUCGCAUCGAUGAAGAACGCAGCGAAAUGCGAUAAGUAAUGUGAAUUGCAGAAUUCAGUGAAUCAUCGAAUCUUUGAACGCACCUUGCGCCCCUUGGCUAUUCCGAGGGGCAUGCCUGUUUGAGUAUCAUGAACACCUCAACUCUCAUGGUUUGCCAUGAUGAGUUGGACUCUGGGGGUUUUGCUGGCCUGUGGUCGGCUCCUCUCAAAUUAAUCAGCCUCCCAGUGUUUGGUGGCAUCACGGGUGUGAUAAAUAUCUACGCUCGCUGUUGUCUGCCAGGUAACCUUUGGUCACAAAGGUUUGCUGGAGCUCACAGAUGUCUCUCCUCAGCGAGGACAGCUUUUUUAACGUUCGAUCUCAAAUCAGGU
Molecule: ribosomal RNA, 601 nt
Filed under: uncultured fungus
Lineage: Eukaryota; Fungi
Description: eukaryotic LSU rRNA
Rfam family: 5.8S ribosomal RNA (bases 208-362)
Source: RNAcentral